GACUCAGGGUCCGGAGUGCGCCGGCGCUAGGCCGGCGCGCUUUGCUAGUAGUGCUGCCUGCUUCUCCGGAUCAAUUUCCCAGCGCUGCUGUCGCCCGGCAGACGCAAGAGGGAAGGCCAAGACGGCGGCUGGGCGCUGGCUCCUUCCUCAUCUGAUGGGAGUAAGAAUGAGAGAAGCAGAAAGAAAAGCCGGUGUGAAAGCCUCAGUCGCCCAGCCGAGUUGGAGGCCAGUGUCGCUGCAUUGGAGAGAGCCAAAGGAAGAGAAAUCAAUACGGCGUGGCCACACUGCGCAGAGCAUUAUAGACCAAGGAUUUUCUUUCCCCCUAAGGGCAGUGGAAAGCCAUAGAAAGUUUUUUGAGGAGGCGGCUUGGUUUUGCUUUGAAUAGUGAAUAUAUGUUUUUUUCUCCAAACACUAUACAAGUGUAUACUUAAAAAGAAAAUGACUCAACCAAAUGGAUUCCAAGAAACCAGUUAGGAGAUUUCUGCAAUGGCCCCGAAGAGAGGCUUCUGGCUUCUUCUGUCUGAAUCACCGCUUCUCCUGCUCUGCAAGCUGCACUCAGCUCCAG
Molecule: long non-coding RNA, 565 nt
Organism: Lagenorhynchus albirostris (white-beaked dolphin)
Lineage: Eukaryota; Metazoa; Chordata; Mammalia; Artiodactyla; Delphinidae
Exons: 3
Source: RefSeq, a predicted model, not a curated record